UCCUCUGCACAGCUUGCCAGCCACUCUGCCCCAGGCCUGUAGGAUUGCAUGGGGCUGUUGUGAUGUAGCUUUGAGGUAGAUUCAUUACUGAGCUCUGGUCUUUCCAAGCACCCUCACUGAGUUGCAAAGGAUUUACAUACUCUUUUUAAAGCAAUUGCUAUACCAGAAUUCAUUAAAUUUGAGUGGUAUUUAAUUUAUACCUAUACUGCACCUUUUGCAAGUACUGAUCAGCUGUUUACCAGUUCACGUGCUUAGGAGUUUCCCUUCAAGAGGUGAUUUUAUUGGAAAAGAUGCUAACAAAAUCUGCGGAGUUUGUAGAGUGAAAAGUGGUAGAGAUGCAUAAGACCUGAGCAGAGUCAUAGGUUAGAAAAAAAUCAGCAGCUAAUCAGUCUGUAAUUAAUUCAGCUGUAUAAAGUCUGCAGGAGCAAAUGGGUUUUGUUUAAUUCUGGCUCCUGUGGCCCUUUGCUGUCUCUCACAGACAAACAAAUUGAAGAAGAAUGCAGAUUAAGUUAAAAAGAAAUAGCGAUCAUUAUCCUUUCCAUCUUUGAUACUGCUGCUCUUGAGAAUAAAAGAAGGAGAAAGCCAAAUCCUUCUACCCUCUACCUCAACUUCAAAAAUGAGAUCCAUAUUGGUACAAUAAGAAGGACUAAAAUCUCCUUUCUUACUAUUGCUGAAAACACAAAGACCUACAGCUGUUCAUAUUCAGGUACUUAUUACACAUUAAAAGCUCUUAUGUUACACAGAUAUUUGAAUUGACUUUAUGACUUUAAAUGAAAGAAUGUACAAUUUGAAAUAGGUUCUACAGUAAUCCGUACCCAGAUGCUUAUACGGAGUUCAGUUUCAAUGUGAUGCACACAAGGGAAAGUAAUUUCUGUCUUAGAAUCUCUUCGGUCACUCAGGUGCAAGUUUUGAUUGCUUAAACGAAUGUAUUAAAACAAUAAUAUUUUGUGUUCUUUGCCAAAAUUCAUUUCUAUAAUGUGUCAUAAACAUCAUUACAUUUUUGUACAUUUAUACAUAAUGAAGUAGUUAUGCAAGUUUCUGAGCCAGACUGAUAUAUAGAGAGCUAAAUUUCACCCUUGAGUAAGUGAAUCAGAAGGGAGAGAUGAACAUAAGUGAAGUGAAAAAGGAGUAUGAAUAGACUAUUAAGAAAAAACUAGAAAUGGGGUUACUGAAUCUAAUUUUCAUUGAAAAGUUAAGAAGUGAAGUUAGGUAGGCAAAAUUCCAAGCACACUCCAGGAGCAUUGAGCUGAUUUAUUGAGCUGAGAGGUAAAUAUUCGGGAAGCCAAAGCCAAGUGUGGAGGUUAUAACAUGAAGGCACACGUGCAUGCUGAAAUGCUAAUUUCCUGCCAGUUGGUGCAAGAAACAGAAGAGUUUCUUAUGUUCAGGUGCUAGGUGUUCCAGUGGUUGAUUAGAAUAUGCAGGGCCUAUAUUUUUCUGCCCUGACAUAGUCCUUGUUUUGCAUAUGUUCUGUCAUCAGUUGUGACAGUACAGGACAAAAUAGUGGCAACAUCUGUUUUUUCCCUAAUAAUAAUUAUUACUCCCCAUGGGCAAAUUUGCCAGCCCUUGUGAGCUUGAAAUCUUGUGCUUCUUGGAAAACACAGUUUGAUUAGAAGCUACUGAAGAAUGUUCUUUAAAAAAAAAAUGUUUUCAGUGCCUAAGAGCUAUAAUGCGGAAGUGUGACAAUGUCCUUCUAACACUACAGUUGC
This 1706-nucleotide long non-coding RNA is filed under the name Anas platyrhynchos platyrhynchos (common mallard). RNAcentral's name for it is "lncRNA (ENSAPLG00000030340.1)". The record is from RNAcentral. Lineage: Eukaryota; Metazoa; Chordata; Aves; Anseriformes; Anatidae.